Molecule: long non-coding RNA, 360 nt
Filed under: Gallus gallus (chicken)
Lineage: Eukaryota; Metazoa; Chordata; Aves; Galliformes; Phasianidae
Description: lncRNA (ENSGALG00010019808.1)
Source: RNAcentral
UUUUUUUCUUUGGACUUAUUCCUCACUGUUUUACACCAUGAUCUUCAGACUCUUCAGCACCUUCAGCUCUCUCUCUCAUUUUCACUCUAUUUGAUAUUUCUGUUGCUGAAGAGGAACUGAUACUCUGCACUGGAGGAAAGGACAGCAUCAAUUAUUGCAAGAACCAGUUUGGCAUUGCAUUCAUUCUAAUGUCCAUGGGAAUGCAAUUAUGCAUCCAGCUCUCUGAAAUCCUCAGGGAACUCAGGACAAUCUGUAUUAGGGACCCUCGCUGGCUUCUCAUGGACUCCCUUGGGUCACUCUCAUGUCCCUCUGCCACCCGGUGUGUGAGGAGCUGUGUAUAACAGGACAGGGCUGAGAGAU